Molecule: unclassified non-coding RNA, 294 nt
Filed under: Hevea brasiliensis (rubber tree)
Lineage: Eukaryota; Viridiplantae; Streptophyta; Magnoliopsida; Malpighiales; Euphorbiaceae
Source: RNAcentral
GGCAUUUCCCCCGAUUUCUUUGUUAGUGUCUAUUCCUUACACAACAACUCUUGGAAGGACCUGAGACCUGAUUUCCCUGACUGUUGUAACUUACACAAGUCCAUUGGCGCUACACAUCUCAACGGGGUAUAUUAUUGGAUCUGUGGGCUUCGAGACAAUAUCUUCCGCAUGUGCACGUUUGAUAUGGGCAGCGAACAAUUUGGGGAGAUGCAAGGCCCGUAUAUUCCAUACACACAAUGGGGAAAGCUUAUGUUGCGUGGUGACUCGCUAGCUAUCUUAGUUGGUGGUUUUGGU